GCCUUUAUAGCUCAACGGUAGAGCGGAAUACUGUUAAAUAUUCUGAUAGAUGUUCAAUUCAUCUUGAGGGCU
Molecule: transfer RNA, 72 nt
Filed under: Cladosporium sphaerospermum UM 843
Lineage: Eukaryota; Fungi; Ascomycota; Dothideomycetes; Cladosporiales; Cladosporiaceae
Description: tRNA-Asn (GTT) (tRNA-Asn-GTT-2-1)
Rfam family: tRNA
About the family: Transfer RNA (tRNA) molecules are approximately 80 nucleotides in length.
Source: RNAcentral